AUUGAACGCUGGCGGCAGGCCUAACACAUGCAAGUCGAACGGUAACAGGGAUCAGCUUGCUGAUUCGCUGACGAGUGGCGGACGGGUGAGUAAUGUCUGGGAAACUGCCUGAUGGAGGGGGAUAACUACUGGAAACGGUAGCUAAUACCGCAUAACGUCGCAAGACCAAAGAGGGGGACCUUCGGGCCUCUUGCCAUCGGAUGUGCCCAGAUGGGAUUAGCUAGUAGGUGGGGUAACGGCUCACCUAGGCGACGAUCCCUAGCUAGUCUGAGAGGAUGACCAGCCACACUGGAACUGAGACACGGUCCAGACUCCUACGGGAGGCAGCAGUGGGGAAUAUUGCACAAUGGGCGCAAGCCUGAUGCAGCCAUGCCGCGUGUAUGAAGAAGGCCUUCGGGUUGUAAAGUACUUUCAGCGGGGAGGAAGGGAGUAAAGUUAAUACCUUUGCUCAUUGACGUUACCCGCAGAAGAAGCACCGGCUAACUCCGUG
This 490-nucleotide ribosomal RNA is filed under the name uncultured bacterium. RNAcentral describes it as "partial 16S ribosomal RNA". It matches the Rfam family "Bacterial small subunit ribosomal RNA", at positions 30 to 507 of the family's 1533-position model. The record is from RNAcentral.